RNAcentral lists this ribosomal RNA (257 nucleotides) under uncultured bacterium. Its description in RNAcentral is "partial 16S ribosomal RNA". It matches the Rfam family "Bacterial small subunit ribosomal RNA", at positions 524 to 776 of the family's 1533-position model. The record is from RNAcentral.
UACGGAGGGGGGCUAGCGUUGUUCGGAAUUACUGGGCGUAAAGCGCACGUAGGCGGCUUUGUAAGUUAGAGGUGAAAGCCCGGGGCUCAACUCCGGAAUUGCCUUUAAGACUGCAUCGCUAGAAUUGUGGAGAGGUAAGUGGAAUUCCGAGUGUAGAGGUGAAAUUCGUAGAUAUUCGGAAGAACACCAGUGGCGAAGGCGACUUACUGGACACAUAUUUGACGCUGAGGUGCGAAAAGCGUGGGGGAGCAAACAGG